This 316-nucleotide ribosomal RNA is filed under the name Triticum aestivum (bread wheat). Its description in RNAcentral is "partial small subunit ribosomal RNA". The record is from RNAcentral. Lineage: Eukaryota; Viridiplantae; Streptophyta; Magnoliopsida; Poales; Poaceae.
CUCCCAUAUGCAUAUUUGACCAGUACUGCGCGCGCCCCGCGAGCAAAGGUCGCCCGGCAAAUUCUGACCCAGCCAAAUGGGAAGGUCGCGAGCCCACCAGUCAUGGAUUCUUAUACCAGCCCAAUAGGGUUGUUCUCCAUCGUCCUCGUGCCCUCCUGUAUGUACUCUCGCUUAUGUGUUCUUGGAUUCUUAUUUUCUUUCUUUUGCAGGAUCCAUAGGAUUAUUGUUUUCUCUGAAUUUGUCCUUUGGUGCAUUGUAUUUGCUUAUUCAGGUCGAUGGGGAGGAGAGGAGCAGAGAGGCUGGAGCUCCAGACGGC